This 1554-nucleotide ribosomal RNA is filed under the name Salmonella enterica. RNAcentral describes it as "bacterial SSU rRNA". It matches the Rfam family "Bacterial small subunit ribosomal RNA". The record is from RNAcentral. Lineage: Bacteria; Pseudomonadati; Pseudomonadota; Gammaproteobacteria; Enterobacterales; Enterobacteriaceae.
AAAUUGAAGAGUUUGAUCAUGGCUCAGAUUGAACGCUGGCGGCAGGCCUAACACAUGCAAGUCGAACGGUAACAGGAAGCAGCUUGCUGCUUUGCUGACGAGUGGCGGACGGGUGAGUAAUGUCUGGGAAACUGCCUGAUGGAGGGGGAUAACUACUGGAAACGGUGGCUAAUACCGCAUAACGUCGCAAGACCAAAGAGGGGGACCUUCGGGCCUCUUGCCAUCAGAUGUGCCCAGAUGGGAUUAGCUUGUUGGUGAGGUAACGGCUCACCAAGGCGACGAUCCCUAGCUGGUCUGAGAGGAUGACCAGCCACACUGGAACUGAGACACGGUCCAGACUCCUACGGGAGGCAGCAGUGGGGAAUAUUGCACAAUGGGCGCAAGCCUGAUGCAGCCAUGCCGCGUGUAUGAAGAAGGCCUUCGGGUUGUAAAGUACUUUCAGCGGGGAGGAAGGUGUUGCGGUUAAUAACCGCAGCAAUUGACGUUACCCGCAGAAGAAGCACCGGCUAACUCCGUGCCAGCAGCCGCGGUAAUACGGAGGGUGCAAGCGUUAAUCGGAAUUACUGGGCGUAAAGCGCACGCAGGCGGUCUGUCAAGUCGGAUGUGAAAUCCCCGGGCUCAACCUGGGAACUGCAUUCGAAACUGGCAGGCUUGAGUCUUGUAGAGGGGGGUAGAAUUCCAGGUGUAGCGGUGAAAUGCGUAGAGAUCUGGAGGAAUACCGGUGGCGAAGGCGGCCCCCUGGACAAAGACUGACGCUCAGGUGCGAAAGCGUGGGGAGCAAACAGGAUUAGAUACCCUGGUAGUCCACGCCGUAAACGAUGUCUACUUGGAGGUUGUGCCCUUGAGGCGUGGCUUCCGGAGCUAACGCGUUAAGUAGACCGCCUGGGGAGUACGGCCGCAAGGUUAAAACUCAAAUGAAUUGACGGGGGCCCGCACAAGCGGUGGAGCAUGUGGUUUAAUUCGAUGCAACGCGAAGAACCUUACCUGGUCUUGACAUCCACGGAAGUUUUCAGAGAUGAGAAUGUGCCUUCGGGAACCGUGAGACAGGUGCUGCAUGGCUGUCGUCAGCUCGUGUUGUGAAAUGUUGGGUUAAGUCCCGCAACGAGCGCAACCCUUAUCCUUUGUUGCCAGCGGUUAGGCCGGGAACUCAAAGGAGACUGCCAGUGAUAAACUGGAGGAAGGUGGGGAUGACGUCAAGUCAUCAUGGCCCUUACGACCAGGGCUACACACGUGCUACAAUGGCGCAUACAAAGAGAAGCGACCUCGCGAGAGCAAGCGGACCUCAUAAAGUGCGUCGUAGUCCGGAUUGGAGUCUGCAACUCGACUCCAUGAAGUCGGAAUCGCUAGUAAUCGUGGAUCAGAAUGCCACGGUGAAUACGUUCCCGGGCCUUGUACACACCGCCCGUCACACCAUGGGAGUGGGUUGCAAAAGAAGUAGGUAGCUUAACCUUCGGGAGGGCGCUUACCACUUUGUGAUUCAUGACUGGGGUGAAGUCGUAACAAGGUAACCGUAGGGGAACCUGCGGUUGGAUCACCUCCUUACCUUAAAGAAGC